GCUAUACGGAUUCGAACCGUAGACCUUCUCGGUAAAACAGAUCAAACGGAUUAUUAUUGAAAUGAUUUAAACUGUUUCAAAGACCCAACAUGCAUUUUUUUUGCAUUGGGCUCUUUCAUAAACUGA
RNAcentral lists this ribosomal RNA (126 nucleotides) under Triticum aestivum (bread wheat). Its description in RNAcentral is "partial small subunit ribosomal RNA". Lineage: Eukaryota; Viridiplantae; Streptophyta; Magnoliopsida; Poales; Poaceae. The record is from RNAcentral.